AUUGAACGCUGGCGGCAGGCCUAACACAUGCAAGUCGAGCGGAUGAAGGGAGCUUUCUCCUGGAUUCAGCGGCGGACGGGUGAGUAAUGCCUUUGAAUCUGCCUGGUAGUGGGGGAUAACGUCCUGAAACGGGCGCUAAUACCGCAUACGUCCUGAUGGAGCAAGUUGGGGAUCUUCGGACCUCACGCUAUCAUAUGAGUCUAGGUCGGAUUAGCGAGUUGGUGGGGUAAAGGCCUACCAAGGCGACGAUCCGUAACUGAUCUGAGAGGAUGAUCAGUCACAUGGGAACGGAGAAACGGACAAGACUCCGACGGGAGGCAGGAGUGGGGAAUAUUGGACAAUGGGCGAAAGCCGGAUCCAGGCAGGCCGAGUGUGUGAAGAAGGUCUUCGGAUUGUAAAGCACUUUAAGGGGGGAGGAAGGGCAGUAAGUUAAGACCUAGCUGUUUUGACGGUACCAACAGAAGAAGAACCGGCUAACUUCGUG
RNAcentral lists this ribosomal RNA (484 nucleotides) under uncultured bacterium. Its description in RNAcentral is "partial 16S ribosomal RNA". It matches the Rfam family "Bacterial small subunit ribosomal RNA", at positions 30 to 507 of the family's 1533-position model. The record is from RNAcentral.